RNAcentral lists this ribosomal RNA (991 nucleotides) under Lactobacillus acidophilus. Its description in RNAcentral is "bacterial SSU rRNA". It matches the Rfam family "Bacterial small subunit ribosomal RNA", at positions 441 to 1424 of the family's 1533-position model. Lineage: Bacteria; Bacillati; Bacillota; Bacilli; Lactobacillales; Lactobacillaceae. The record is from RNAcentral.
GGUGAAGAAGGAUAGAGGGUAGUAACUGGCCUUUAUUUGACGGUAAUCAACCAGAAAGUCACGGCUAACUACGUGCCAGCAGCCGCGGUAAUACGUAGGUGGCAAGCGUUGUCCGGAUUUAUUGGGCGUAAAGCGAGCGCAGGCGGAAGAAUAAGUCUGAUGUGAAAGCCCUCGGCUUAACCGAGGAACUGCAUCGGAAACUGUUUUUCUUGAGUGCAGAAGAGGAGAGUGGAACUCCAUGUGUAGCGGUGGAAUGCGUAGAUAUAUGGAAGAACACCAGUGGCGAAGGCGGCUCUCUGGUCUGCAACUGACGCUGAGGCUCGAAAGCAUGGGUAGCGAACAGGAUUAGAUACCCUGGUAGUCCAUGCCGUAAACGAUGAGUGCUAAGUGUUGGGAGGUUUCCGCCUCUCAGUGCUGCAGCUAACGCAUUAAGCACUCCGCCUGGGGAGUACGACCGCAAGGUUGAAACUCAAAGGAAUUGACGGGGGCCCGCACAAGCGGUGGAGCAUGUGGUUUAAUUCGAAGCAACGCGAAGAACCUUACCAGGUCUUGACAUCUAGUGCAAUCCGUAGAGAUACGGAGUUCCCUUCGGGGACACUAAGACAGGUGGUGCAUGGCUGUCGUCAGCUCGUGUCGUGAGAUGUUGGGUUAAGUCCCGCAACGAGCGCAACCCUUGUCAUUAGUUGCCAGCAUUAAGUUGGGCACUCUAAUGAGACUGCCGGUGACAAACCGGAGGAAGGUGGGGAUGACGUCAAGUCAUCAUGCCCCUUAUGACCUGGGCUACACACGUGCUACAAUGGACAGUACAACGAGGAGCAAGCCUGCGAAGGCAAGCGAAUCUCUUAAAGCUGUUCUCAGUUCGGACUGCAGUCUGCAACUCGACUGCACGAAGCUGGAAUCGCUAGUAAUCGCGGAUCAGCACGCCGCGGUGAAUACGUUCCCGGGCCUUGUACACACCGCCCGUCACACCAUGGGAGUCUGCAAUGCCCAA